Molecule: RNA transcript, 7853 nt
Organism: Lepus europaeus (European hare)
Lineage: Eukaryota; Metazoa; Chordata; Mammalia; Lagomorpha; Leporidae
Gene: DICER1
Gene name: dicer 1, ribonuclease III
Exons: 32
Source: RefSeq, a predicted model, not a curated record
CCUGGGCUGUGACGCGCGCGCCGGAGCGGGCUCCGAUGGUUCUCGAAGGCCCGCGGCGCCCCGUGCUGCAGGUUACCUAGGGUAUGAAUUAAUACAGACUUGGAAACUGAAAGAACUUAGAAUCAGCAUUUUGAGAGCAGAAGCUCGCGCAUGCUGUGAUUUUCCAAUAAACUGCUCUCACAAUGUCAAAAUGCAAUUCAGACAGGAGCAACCCAGAGGUCUCAGACAUUAAAACGAUGCGUGUUGAAAUAGUUGGCGACCUGUACAAUUGUGAUCAGUUGUCAACUGAGAAAAACAGCUGUGUUCCUGGUCUUCUAUCUUUUUUUGUCAGCUGUGCUAGAACAAAAAUGCAAUGAGAGAAACACUGGAUGAAUGAAAAGCCCUGCUUUGCAGCCCCUCAGCAUGGCAGGCCUGCAGCUCCUGACCCCUGCUUCCUCACCAAUGGGUCCUUUCUUUGGACUGCCAUGGCAACAAGAGGCGAUUCAUGAUAACAUUUAUACGCCAAGAAAAUAUCAGGUUGAACUGCUGGAAGCAGCUCUGGAUCGUAACACCAUCGUGUGUUUGAACACUGGCUCAGGGAAGACGUUCAUCGCAGUGCUGCUCACUAAAGAGCUGUCCUAUCAGAUCAGGGGGGACUUCCACGGAGAUGGAAAGAGGACGGUGUUCUUGGUCAACUCUGCAAACCAGGUUGCUCAGCAAGUGUCAGCUGUCAGAACUCAUUCAGACCUCAAGGUCGGGGAGUACUCAGACCUAGAAGUAAAUGCGUCCUGGACGAAGGAGAGAUGGAACCAAGAGUUUGCUAAGCACCAGGUUCUUAUCAUGACUUGCUAUGUCGCCUUGAGUGUUCUGAAGAAUGGUUACUUAUCGCUGUCAGACAUUAACCUUUUGGUGUUUGAUGAGUGUCAUCUUGCGAUCCUAGACCACCCCUAUCGAGAAAUUAUGAAGCUCUGUGAAAAUUGUCCAUCAUGCCCUCGCAUUUUGGGACUAACUGCUUCCAUUUUAAAUGGGAAAUGUGAUCCAGAGGAAUUGGAAGAAAAGAUUCAGAAACUGGAGAAGAUUCUUAAGAGUAACGCUGAAACUGCAACUGACCUGGUGGUCUUAGACAGAUCCACUUCUCAGCCGUGUGAGAUCGUGGUAGACUGUGGACCAUUCACUGACAGAAGCGGCCUCUAUGAACGACUGCUGGUGGAGUUAGAAGAAGCACUUAACUUUAUCAAUGACUGUAAUAUAUCUGUACAUUCGAAAGAAAGAGAUUCUACUUUAAUUUCUAAACAGAUCCUAUCAGACUGUCGGGCGGUACUGGUAGUUCUGGGACCUUGGUGUGCAGAUAAAGUCGCUGGCAUGAUGGUAAGGGAAUUGCAGAAAUACAUCAAACACGAGCAAGAGGAGCUGCACAGGAAGUUCUUACUGUUUACAGACACUUUCCUGAGGAAGAUACACGCACUGUGUGAAGAGCACUUCUCACCUGCCUCACUGGACCUGAAGUUUGUAACUCCGAAAGUAGUAAAACUGCUGGAAAUCUUGCGCAAAUAUAAACCAUAUGAGCGGCAGCAGUUUGAGAGCGUGGAGUGGUAUAAUAACAGGAAUCAGGACAAUUAUGUGUCUUGGAGUGAUUCUGAAGAUGAUGAUGAAGAUGAAGAAAUUGAGGAGAAAGAGAAGCCAGAGACAAAUUUUCCUUCUCCAUUUACCAAUAUUUUAUGUGGAAUUAUUUUUGUGGAAAGAAGAUACACAGCAGUUGUCUUAAACAGAUUGAUAAAGGAAGCAGGCAAGCAGGACCCAGAGCUGGCUUACAUCAGCAGCAACUUUAUAACUGGACACGGCAUUGGGAAGAGCCAGCCUCGGAGCAAACAGAUGGAAGCGGAGUUCCGCAAGCAGGAGGAGGUACUUCGGAAAUUUCGAGCGCAUGAGACCAACCUGCUCAUUGCCACGAGUGUGGUGGAGGAGGGCGUCGAUAUUCCAAAAUGCAACUUGGUGGUUCGUUUUGAUUUGCCUACAGAGUAUCGAUCCUAUGUUCAAUCUAAAGGAAGAGCAAGGGCGCCAAUCUCUAAUUAUGUAAUGUUAGCAGAUACAGACAAAAUAGAAAGUUUUGAAGAAGAUCUUAAAACUUACAAAGCGAUUGAAAAGAUCCUGAGAAACAAGUGCUCCACGUCGGUGGACACUGGUGAGGCCGAUGUUGAUCCUGUCGUGGACGACGAUGAUGUUUUCCCGCCGUAUGUGCUGAGGCCCGAUGACGGCGGCCCGCGGGUCACGAUCAACACGGCCAUCGGACACAUCAACAGAUACUGUGCCAGAUUACCAAGUGAUCCGUUCACUCACCUGGCUCCCAAAUGCAGGACCCGAGAGUUGCCUGAUGGUACCUUUUAUUCAACUCUGUAUCUGCCAAUUAACUCGCCUCUGCGAGCCUCCAUUGUUGGUCCACCAAUGAGUUGUGUACGGUUGGCUGAAAGAGUUGUAGCUCUCAUUUGCUGUGAAAAACUGCACAAAAUUGGUGAACUGGAUGAACAUUUGAUGCCAGUUGGGAAAGAGACUGUCAAAUAUGAAGAGGAGCUCGAUUUACACGAUGAAGAAGAAACCAGCGUUCCAGGAAGACCAGGUUCCACUAAGCGGAGGCAGUGCUACCCGAAAGCAAUUCCAGAAUGUUUGAGGGAUAGUUAUCCCAAACCCGAUCAGCCCUGCUACCUGUAUGUGAUAGGAAUGGUUUUAACUACCCCUUUACCUGAUGAACUGAACUUCAGACGGCGGAAGCUCUAUCCCCCUGAAGAUACCACGAGAUGCUUUGGAAUACUGACAGCCAAGCCCAUACCUCAGAUUCCACACUUCCCCGUGUACACGCGCUCUGGAGAAGUCACCAUAUCCAUCGAGCUGAAGAAGUCUGGCUUCACGUUGUCUCUGCAAAUGCUUGAGUUGAUCACAAGGCUGCACCAGUAUAUUUUCUCACAUAUCCUUCGGCUUGAGAAGCCCGCGCUAGAAUUCAAGCCUACAGACGCUGACUCGGCCUACUGUGUCCUACCUCUGAAUGUCGUUAAUGACUCCCGCACUUUGGACAUUGACUUUAAAUUCAUGGAAGAUAUUGAGAAAUCUGAAGCUCGCAUAGGCAUUCCCAGCACAAAGUAUUCAAAAGAAGCGCCCUUUGUUUUUAAACUAGAAGAUUACCAAGAUGCAGUUAUCAUUCCAAGAUACCGCAAUUUUGAUCAACCUCAUCGAUUUUAUGUAGCUGAUGUGUAUACUGAUCUUACCCCUCUCAGUAAAUUUCCUUCCCCCGAGUAUGAAACUUUUGCAGAAUAUUACAAAACAAAGUAUAACCUUGACCUGACCAAUCUCAACCAGCCCCUGCUGGAUGUGGACCACACAUCUUCAAGACUUAACCUUUUGACACCUCGACAUUUGAAUCAGAAGGGGAAAGCUCUUCCUCUGAGCAGUGCUGAAAAGAGGAAAGCCAAGUGGGAGAGUCUGCAGAACAAACAGAUCCUGGUCCCGGAGCUCUGUGCUAUCCACCCCAUCCCUGCAUCGCUGUGGAGAAAAGCAGUUUGUCUCCCCAGCAUUCUCUAUCGCCUUCACUGCCUUUUGACUGCAGAGGAGCUCCGAGCCCAGACAGCCAGCGAUGCUGGCGUGGGGGUCAGAUCACUUCCUGCGGAUUUUAGAUACCCUAACUUAGACUUCGGGUGGAAAAAAUCUAUCGACAGCAAAUCCUUCAUCUCCGUCUCUAACUCCUCUUCGGCGGGCAGUGAGCAUUACUGUAAGCACAGCACAACUGUAGGCCCUGAAAAUGCUGCACAUCAAGGUGCUACUCGAACCUCUUCUCUAGAAAACCACGACCAAAUGUCUGUGAGCUGCAGAACGCCACUCACGGAGGCACCGGGGAAGCCCCAGAGGGAAGGCCCAGCGGAUCUGAGGGCAGCCAGUGCGCUCUCCUGCAGUCGAAGUCUUGCCAAUGGCAGUUACGAGUUCGCUGCCAGAGACUUUUGCCAAGGAGAUCAGCUGAAUUACUACAUGCAGGAAAUACCUGUGCAACCAGCUACCUCAUAUCCCACUCAGAAUUUAUACAGUCGUGAGAACCAGCCCAAGCCCAGCGAUGAAUGUACCCUACCGAGUCGUAAAUACCUUGACGGAAAUGCUAACAAAUCUACCUCAGCUGGAAGUCCCACAGCGGCCGCCACGCCUGGUACGACGGACACUGUCAGGGCCCUCCAGGGCAGCAUGGAUUCCGCGCAGAGCCCUCCUGUCGGAUACUCCUCAAAAACUCUCGGCCCCAAUCCUGGACUGGUUCUUCAGGCUUUGACUCUGUCCAAUGCUAGUGAUGGGUUUAACCUGGAGCGGCUCGAGAUGCUUGGUGACUCCUUUCUAAAGCACGCCAUCACCACCUAUCUCUUUUGCACUUACCCCGAUGCUCACGAGGGCCGCCUUUCCUAUAUGAGAAGCAAAAAGGUCAGCAACUGUAACCUGUACCGCCUCGGGAAGAAGCAGGGGCUGCCCAGCCGCAUGGUGGUGUCCAUCUUUGACCCCCCCGUGAACUGGCUUCCUCCCGGCUACGUGGUAAAUCAAGACAAAAGUAACACAGAUAAAUGGGACAAAGAUGAAAUGACAAAAGACUGCGUGUUGGCUAAUGGCAAACUGGACGAGGACUGCGAGGAGGAAGAGGAGGAGGAGGAGGAGGAGGAAGAGGAGGAGGAGAACUUGGUGUGGAGGGCUCCCAAGGAGGACGCCGAUUACGAAGAUGAUUUCCUGGAGUACGAUCAGGAGCACAUCAAGUUUAUAGACAACAUGCUGAUGGGAUCAGGAGCUUUUGUAAAGAAAAUUUCUCUUUCUCCUUUCUCCACCGCUGACUCUGCGUACGAAUGGAAGAUGCCCAGGAAGCCCUCCUCAGGCGCUGUGCCGUUCUCGUCGGACUUGGAGGAUUUUGACUACAGCUCUUGGGAUGCCAUGUGCUAUCUGGAUCCUAGCAAAGCUGUCGAAGAGGACGACUUCGUGGUGGGCUUCUGGAAUCCGUCGGAAGAAAACUGUGGAGCUGACGCGGGGAAGCAGUCCAUCUCCUACGACUUGCACACCGAGCAGUGCAUUGCCGACAAGAGCAUCGCGGACUGCGUGGAAGCCCUGCUGGGCUGCUACUUAACCAGCUGUGGCGAGAGGGCUGCUCAGCUCUUCCUGUGCUCGCUGGGGCUGAAGGUGCUCCCGGUCAUGAAGAGGGCCGACCGGGAGAAGGCCGCGUGCCCCGCUCGGGAGAACUUCAACAGCCAACACAGGCACCUUCCAGGGAGCGGCGCCACAGCCGCAGGAGCCAGCUCCCGAGGCCCCUCGGUGUUGAGAGACCUGGAGUACGGGUGUCUGAAGAUCCCGCCGAGAUGCAUGUUUGACCAUCCAGACGCAGAUAAAACGCUGACUCACCUUAUAUCGGGUUUCGAGAAUUUCGAAAAGAAAAUCAACUACAGAUUCCGGAAUAAGGCUUACCUGCUGCAGGCUUUCACACACGCCUCCUACCACUACAACACCAUCACCGAUUGUUACCAGCGCUUGGAGUUCCUGGGUGACGCGAUUCUGGACUACCUCAUAACCAAGCACCUUUACGAAGACCCGCGGCAGCACUCCCCGGGGGUCCUCACCGACCUGCGCUCCGCCCUGGUCAACAACACCAUCUUCGCGUCGCUGGCCGUGAAGUACGACUACCACAAGUACUUCAAAGCGGUGUCCCCCGAGCUCUUCCACGUCAUCGAUGACUUCGUGCAGUUCCAGCUGGAGAAGAAUGAAAUGCAAGGCAUGGAUUCGGAGCUUAGGAGAUCUGAGGAGGAUGAAGAGAAAGAGGAGGACAUUGAAGUCCCAAAGGCCAUGGGGGAUAUAUUUGAGUCGCUGGCCGGGGCCAUUUACAUGGACAGCGGGAUGUCGCUGGAGGUGGUGUGGCAGGUGUACUACCCGAUGAUGCGGCCCCUCAUAGAAAAGUUUUCUGCAAAUGUGCCCCGUUCCCCUGUGCGAGAAUUGCUUGAAAUGGAACCGGAAACUGCCAAAUUUAGCCCGGCUGAGAGAACGUACGACGGGAAGGUCAGAGUGACCGUGGAAGUGGUGGGAAAAGGGAAGUUUAAAGGCGUGGGCCGCAGCUACAGGAUCGCCAAGUCGGCCGCCGCGAGACGCGCCCUGCGAAGCCUCAAAGCCAAUCAACCUCAGCUGUGGGUCAGUCUUGCUCUCCCGCCAACAUCCCAGUAGAGGUUUGCUGCAGUUUGCCUGUUAAUGAUGCUUGAAGUGUGAGAAAGUGGAGCGGAGCUGUCUCGCACGAGGAUUUUCCAUCCGUGGUCUGAAGAGAAAAACAGCUGAGUUGAAUUGAGACUCGCGGUCUGGAGCAUCCUGUGGCCCCGGUUAGUGAGUUAGGAAAUCAGAGUCAGGCGGGCGAGGGUGCGGCCGCUCCUGCGCUCUGUGCUGCGGUUGCUACACCUGGGUCCCCGCUCCAGCUCUGGCGCUUUGCCUCGGUCAAUCCAGAGUGGCUCCCUGUGACCUCGCCUCACAGCCCUGUGCCGGCCAGCAGAGAGCCAGCAGGUGGCGUGGGACGGCUCCGCGCGCCCUCCACAGCACGGCCAGAACCCGCUUCCCGCAGUCCCGAGGGCGCUGCGGCCCGAGCGGCUUUCCCCGCUGUUCCGUUCAUGUCGCGCACAUAAGCAUUGCACUUGGUACCAGGCUUUACCUCAUUGCAAGGAAAAAACGCUCAACUGAGAGGAGGAAUUAGAGUUUGGCCUUGCUGCUGUUUGAGUUCCCGGAUUUGGAAAAAGAUGAUUAUAAUGCCUGCGACGUGUCGUGUGCUUGCACAACUUAUAGGUCAUUUUUGUCUGUGGCAUUUUUACUGUUUGUGAAAGUGUAGCAAUGACUUGUUAACUCCUAAUUGUGUUUCUUAAAAAUGUUUGUUGUAUUUCUUUCCUUUCUCCUUUUACCUUAUGUGAAGUGAUUGCGUUUAGAACACCCUCUAACACUCCUGUAGUUAGAUUUACAGUACUGGCAUUUUCACUUCCUCAGCAGGGGCUUGCCCUCAGAGAGCCAGAGGCUUGGUCUGGUUCUGUGGGCUCCGCUCGUAAGCAGAAGCCUCCCCCCAGCAGUCCGGUGGCGGCUGGCGAACCCCGAGAAUAAGCCCCCGCUGAGGCCCGGUUGAUUUAAAGCUUGCUCGCCGGCUCUGCAGCGGGGUCGGGUGCGCUCCCAGGCACCGAAGCCGGCAGACGGAGGCCCUGACGUCUUUGUCUGACUGCGUCUGGAGCCCCGGCCGUGUCCUCCGCGGCCCGCGGGAGAGAACCGGGCUGUGUUUAUUACCUGUGUGGUUAUUCUAAUUACAUUGAAAUAGGUAUAUUUUUCCAACCACUGAUUACUUUCCAGGAAUUUAAUUAUUUCCAAAUGAAUUUCUUUAUUUUAUAUUGUACAUGGAAAGUUUUAAAGAUAUGUUUAAGACCAAGAAUAUUAAAAUGAUUUUAAAGGUUGUUGGAGACACCAGUAGCAAUAUGUAGGGAAUAUGCAUUGAGACCGUUGUAUUUUCUACCAGCAGUGCAAAGGAUCUUUCGGAACUAACUUGUAAAUAGGUUUUGAUCAUUACCUGUCUUGUCGUUUAGUCCGUUUUUAUUUGGACCCCAACUGCAGACAGUUGCAGUGUUGUAGAUGUGCUCAGAGCUCACUUAGCAGCAGACUGUGUAGGCGAACAGGAAGCACGUUUCUGGCUUCUGUGCUGUAAAUAGAGUGGAGGAAAAUGACGAAAAUCCAGUCAAACUCACAUAUCACCGCGGCGGUGGGCGGCCGUCACGGCGGGCCGCGCCUGUGGGCAGGAGCCCCUCCACUUGUCUGUUCUGGUAAUAACUGUAGCCGAGUAAAUCUCCAAUAAAGUUAUGAUCUGUUCA